Molecule: ribosomal RNA, 980 nt
Filed under: Brevibacterium samyangense
Lineage: Bacteria; Bacillati; Actinomycetota; Actinomycetes; Micrococcales; Brevibacteriaceae
Description: bacterial SSU rRNA
Rfam family: Bacterial small subunit ribosomal RNA
Source: RNAcentral
GGAAAGUUUUUUCGGUUGGGGAUGGGCUCGCGGCCUAUCAGCUUGUUGGUGGGGUGAUGGCCUACCAAGGCGACGACGGGUAGCCGGCCUGAGAGGGCGACCGGCCACACUGGGACUGAGACACGGCCCAGACUCCUACGGGAGGCAGCAGUGGGGAAUAUUGCACAAUGGGGGAAACCCUGAUGCAGCGACGCCGCGUGGGGGAUGACGGCCUUCGGGUUGUAAACCUCUUUCAGUAGGGAAGAAGCCUUCGGGUGACGGUACCUGCAGAAGAAGUACCGGCUAACUACGUGCCAGCAGCCGCGGUAAUACGUAGGGUACAAGCGUUGUCCGGAAUUAUUGGGCGUAAAGAGCUCGUAGGUGGUCUGUCGCGUCUGCUGUGGAAACGCAACGCUCAACGUUGCGCGUGCAGUGGGUACGGGCGGACUGGAGUGCAGUAGGGGAGUCUGGAAUUCCUGGUGUAGCGGUGAAAUGCGCAGAUAUCAGGAGGAACACCGGUGGCGAAGGCGGGACUCUGGGCUGUAACUGACGCUGAGGAGCGAAAGCAUGGGGAGCGAACAGGAUUAGAUACCCUGGUAGUCCAUGCCGUAAACGUUGGGCACUAGGUGUGGGACCCAUUCCACGGGUUCCGUGCCGUAGCUAACGCAUUAAGUGCCCCGCCUGGGGAGUACGGCCGCAAGGCUAAAACUCAAAGGAAUUGACGGGGGCCCGCACAAGCGGCGGAGCAUGCGGAUUAAUUCGAUGCAACGCGAAGAACCUUACCAAGGCUUGACAUACACCGGAUCGCUGCAGAAAUGUGGUUUCCCUUCGGGGCUGGUGUACAGGUGGUGCAUGGUUGUCGUCAGCUCCGGUCGUGAGAAUGUUGGGUUAAGUCCCGCAACGAGCGCAACCCUCGUUCUAUGUUGCCAGCACGUGAUGGUGGGAACUCAUAGGAGACUGCCGGGGUCAACUCCGGAGGAAGGUGGGGGAUGACGUCAAAU